CACAAUUCUGAUGAAGUAUUGCUAUUGGCAAAUGUAUAUAGAACUAUUACACACUGAGACGUGUAAUUGUACUAGGACCGAUUUUUAUCAUCUAUCAUAUAAGGAACAUAUCAUAUUUUAAUCAAAACAUCCCUUGAUUAAAGCUGAAUAUUUACUGCUUUUUCCCAGGUCUGAAAGUUUUGAGGAUUUCCUAGCGCUGUGUUUGAUAAAAUCACCUGAUCAAAGACCGACGGCCAAAAUGCUUCUCGAACACAGCUUUAUAAAGGAACAACCAAUGGCCGAUAGCAUGGAGAAUUGGUUAAUGGAUUAUAUCUACAGUGUGUACUGGAAUGCUGAAGGGUACGGCCCAGAAAAUGCCCAAUAAGAUACACUGAGGAGUAGUGGCAAAUAAGGACUAUAUCGGCUAUUUAAGCUACAGUCAUGGAACAGUGGGCCUACGUUACAUGUUCCUGAAUGGCAAGUCUUCUUAAAGGUCCUCAGGAACUGCAGCCAUAAUGAUUCCAUCUAAUGGACUGCGGCCACAAUGGAGCUGGACCUGGACUUUGGAAUGAAUGUCUGCGCUGGCUGAGAAGAGACUGCCAAUAAGAAAGCAGCCAGCGGGUGGUGGAGGGUUUAAGGAUUCCAACAUCCUUGGGAACUAAGUUCCCAGCCAAGUUUUGUAAAUAUGUCCGUAAAUAAAAUUGUAAUAUACUU
This is a long non-coding RNA of Xenopus tropicalis (tropical clawed frog), 693 nucleotides long. RefSeq lists it as uncharacterized. NCBI's taxonomy places the organism in Eukaryota, Metazoa, Chordata, Amphibia, Anura, Pipidae. The record is from RefSeq and is a predicted model, not a curated record. The transcript has 3 exons.